RNAcentral lists this ribosomal RNA (460 nucleotides) under uncultured bacterium. RNAcentral's name for it is "bacterial SSU rRNA". It matches the Rfam family "Bacterial small subunit ribosomal RNA", at positions 28 to 507 of the family's 1533-position model. The record is from RNAcentral.
GACGAACGCUAGCGGCGUGCUUAACACAUGCAAGUCGGACGGUUGGCACUGGAAGGUUCGCUGGAAGGUGCUGAUAGUGGCGGACGGGUGAGUAACGCGUGAGGACAUGUCUGCAGGAGGGGGAUAACGUUUGGAAACGGACGCUAAGACCCCGUAAGCCGGGAGGUGAAAGUGGCGAAAGCCAGCCUGUGGAGUGACUCGCGUCCUAUCAGCUAGUUGGCGGGGUGAAGGCCCACCAAGGCGAUGACGGGUAGCCGACCUGAGAGGGUGGCCGGCCACACUGGAACUGAGAUACGGUCCAGACUCCUACGGGAGGCAGCAGUGGGGAAUAUUGGGCAAUGGGCGGAAGCCUGACCCAGCGACGCCGCGUGGGGGAAGAAGUCUUUCGAGAUGUAAACCCUUGUUGUACGGGACGAAGGAAGUGACGGUACCGUACGAGGAAGCCCCGGCAAACUACGUG